This 387-nucleotide ribosomal RNA is filed under the name uncultured bacterium. RNAcentral's name for it is "bacterial SSU rRNA". It matches the Rfam family "Bacterial small subunit ribosomal RNA", at positions 28 to 417 of the family's 1533-position model. The record is from RNAcentral.
GACGAACGCUGGCGGCGUGCUUAACACAUGCAAGUCGAGCGGUAAGGCCCUUUCGGGGGUACACGAGCGGCGAACGGGUGAGUAACACGUGGGUGACCUGCCCUCAGCUCUGGGAUAAGCCCGGGAAACUGGGUCUAAUACUGGAUAUGACUCCAUGACGCAUGUUGUGGGGUGGAAAGCCUUGUGCGGCUGGGGAUGGGCCCGCGGCCUAUCAGCUUGCUGGUGGGGGAUGGCCUACCAAGGCGACGACGGGUAGCCGGCCUGAGAGGGCGACCGGCCACACUGGGACUGAGACACGGCCCAGACUCCUACGGGAGGCAGCAGUGGGGAAUCUUGCGCAAUGGGCGAAAGCCUGACGCAGCGACGCCGCGUGAGGGAUGACGGCCU